RNAcentral lists this ribosomal RNA (116 nucleotides) under Pteropus alecto (black flying fox). The record is from RNAcentral. Lineage: Eukaryota; Metazoa; Chordata; Mammalia; Chiroptera; Pteropodidae.
AUCUAUGGCCAUGGCACCCUGAAUAAGCCUGACAUCUGAUCUUUGAAGCUAAGCAGAGUUGGGCCUGGUUAGUACUUGGAUGGGAGACCACCUAGAAAGACCAGGUGCUGUAGGCA